Non-coding RNA from Triticum aestivum (bread wheat), 123 nucleotides. The record is from Rfam. NCBI's taxonomy places the organism in Eukaryota, Viridiplantae, Streptophyta, Magnoliopsida, Poales, Poaceae.
UAAUUACUUCCGUCCGGAAUUGCUUGACGCUCAAAUGGAUGUAUCUAGAUGUAUUUUAGUGCUAGAUACAUCCUAGAUACAUCCAUUUGAGCGUCAAGUAAUUCUGGACGGAGGGAGUACUAU